Molecule: small nuclear RNA, 107 nt
Filed under: Choloepus hoffmanni (Hoffmann's two-fingered sloth)
Lineage: Eukaryota; Metazoa; Chordata; Mammalia; Pilosa; Megalonychidae
Source: RNAcentral
GCACUUGCUUCAGCAGUACAUACACUAAAAUUGGAAUGAUACAGAGAAGAUUAGCAUGGCCCCUGUGCAAGGAUGACAUGCAAAUUUGUGAAGCAUUCCAUAUUUUU